UGAGAAGGAAAGCGACCACGGUGCUUAGGU
RNAcentral lists this non-coding RNA (30 nucleotides) under Mus musculus (house mouse). Lineage: Eukaryota; Metazoa; Chordata; Mammalia; Rodentia; Muridae. The record is from RNAcentral.